This 433-nucleotide ribosomal RNA is filed under the name uncultured bacterium. Its description in RNAcentral is "partial 16S ribosomal RNA". It matches the Rfam family "Bacterial small subunit ribosomal RNA", at positions 29 to 507 of the family's 1533-position model. The record is from RNAcentral.
AACGAAUGCUGGCGGCAUGCCUAACACAUGCAAGUCGAACGAGACCUUCGGGUCUAGUGGCGCACGGGUGCGUAACGCGUGGGAACCUGCCCUUAGGUUCGGAAUAACUCCCCGAAAGGGGUGCUAAUACCGGAUAAUGUCUUCGGACCAAAGAUUUAUCGCCUUUGGAUGGGCCCGCGUUGGAUUAGCUAGUUGGUAGGGUAAAAGCCUACCAAGGCGACGAUCCAUAGCUGGUCUGAGAGGAUGAUCAGCCACACUGGGACUGAGACACGGCCCAGACUCCUACGGGAGGCAGCAGUGGGGAAUAUUGGACAAUGGGCGAAAGCCUGAUACAGCAAUGCCGCGUGAGUGAUGAAGGCCUUAGGGUUGUAAAGCUCUUUUACCCGGGAUGAUAAUGACAGUACCGGGAGAAUAAGCUCCGGCUAACUCCGUG